Molecule: ribosomal RNA, 477 nt
Filed under: uncultured anaerobic ammonium-oxidizing bacterium
Lineage: Bacteria
Description: bacterial SSU rRNA
Rfam family: Bacterial small subunit ribosomal RNA
Source: RNAcentral
UUCGCAAUGCCCGAAAGGGUGACGAAGCGACGCCGCGUGUGGGAAGAAGGCCUUCGGGUUGUAAACCGCUGUCGGGAGUUAGGAAGUGCAAGGAUGUUAAUAGCGUCUUUGCUUGACUAAGGCUCCGGAGGAAGCCACGGCUAACUCUGUGCCAGCAGCCGCGGUAAUACAGAGGCGGCAAGCGUUGUUCGGAAUUAUUGGGCGUAAAGAGCACGUAGGCGGCCGCGUAAGUCGGUUGUGAAAGCCUUCCGCUCAACGGGAGAACGGCAUCCGAUACUGCAUGGCUCGAGUGCGGGAGGGGAGAGUGGAACUUCUGGUGGAGCGGUGAAAUGCGUAGAUAUCAGAAGGAACGCCGGCGGCGAAAGCGGCUCUCUGGCCCGUAACUGACGCUGAGUGUGCGAAAGCUAGGGGAGCAAACGGGAUUAGAUACCCCGGUAGUCCUAGCCGUAAACGAUGGGCACUAAGUAGAGGGGUUUU